CCUCUGGGUCCAACCUCCCACCCGUGUUUAUUUACCUUGUUGCUUCGGCGGGCCCGCCUUAACUGGCCGCCGGGGGGCUCACGCCCCCGGGCCCGCGCCCGCCGAAGACACCCUCGAACUCUGUCUGAAGAUUGUAGUCUGAGUGAAAAUAUAAAUUAUUUAAAACUUUCAACAACGGAUCUCUUGGUUCCGGCAUCGAUGAAGAACGCAGCGAAAUGCGAUACGUAAUGUGAAUUGCAAAUUCAGUGAAUCAUCGAGUCUUUGAACGCACAUUGCGCCCCCUGGUAUUCCGGGGGGCAUGCCUGUCCGAGCGUCAUUGCUGCCCUCAAGCACGGCUUGUGUGUUGGGCCCCGUCCUCCGAUUCCGGGGGACGGGCCCGAAAGGCAGCGGCGGCACCGCGUCCGGUCCUCGAGCGUAUGGGGCUUUGUCACCCGCUCUGUAGGCCCGGCCGGCGCUUGCCGAUCAACCCAAAUUUUUAUCCAGGUUGACCUCGGAUCAGGUAGGGAUACCCGCUGAACUUAAGCAUAUCAA
Molecule: ribosomal RNA, 531 nt
Filed under: fungal sp. AB36
Lineage: Eukaryota; Fungi
Description: eukaryotic LSU rRNA
Rfam family: 5.8S ribosomal RNA (bases 164-316)
Source: RNAcentral